This 198-nucleotide ribosomal RNA is filed under the name uncultured bacterium. RNAcentral describes it as "partial 16S ribosomal RNA". It matches the Rfam family "Bacterial small subunit ribosomal RNA", at positions 328 to 539 of the family's 1533-position model. The record is from RNAcentral.
ACGCUCGACACCUACGGGAGGCAGCGGUGGGGAAUAUUGCACAAUGGGGGAAACCCUGAUGCAGCGACGCCGCGUGGAGGAAGAAGGUCUUCGGAUUGUAAACUCCUGUUGUUGGGGAAAAAGAGGAUGGUACCCAACAAGGAAGUGACGGCUAACUACGUUCCAGCAGCCGCGGUAAUCUGAGCGGGCUGGCAAGGC